RNAcentral lists this ribosomal RNA (250 nucleotides) under uncultured bacterium. RNAcentral describes it as "partial 16S ribosomal RNA". It matches the Rfam family "Bacterial small subunit ribosomal RNA", at positions 811 to 1058 of the family's 1533-position model. The record is from RNAcentral.
GGAUACUAGCUGUUUGGGGUAUCGACCCCCUGAGUAGCGAAGCUAACGCGUUAAGUAUCCCGCCUGUGGAGUACGAUCGCAAGAUUAAAACAUAAAGGAAUUGACGGGGACCCGCACAAGCGGUGGAUCAUGUUCUUUAAUUCGAUGAUAACCGAUAAACCUUACCAGGUCUUGACAUCCUUGGAAUCUUUCAGAAAUGAGAGAGUGCUUUUUAAGAGCCAAGUGACAGGUGAUGCAUGGCUGUCGUCAG